This is a long non-coding RNA of Rana temporaria (common frog), 204 nucleotides long. RefSeq lists it as uncharacterized. The record is from RefSeq and is a predicted model, not a curated record. Lineage: Eukaryota; Metazoa; Chordata; Amphibia; Anura; Ranidae. The transcript has 3 exons.
GAGUUGAGUCGGGAGGAAGUAGAGAAGUGACGUUGUUGGCAGUGGCAGCCGAGGAGGGAAACCUAUAUAGAUCAUAUGACCAAUGAUGAUGGAAGAGGAUCGGAGUCACACAACUGAGAGGAUACUAAGCCUCACCCUGGAGAUCAUCUAUCUGCUGACCGGAGAGAGAUUUCCUCUUGUGAAGUCCGGUGAUCAUAUGACCAU